Molecule: ribosomal RNA, 492 nt
Filed under: uncultured bacterium
Lineage: Bacteria
Description: partial 16S ribosomal RNA
Rfam family: Bacterial small subunit ribosomal RNA
Source: RNAcentral
AGUGAACGCUGGCGGUAGGCCUAACACAUGCAAGUCGAACGGCAGCACAGUAAGAGCUUGCUCUUACGGGUGGCGAGUGGCGGACGGGUGAGGAAUACAUCGGAAUCUACUUUUUCGUGGGGGAUAACGUAGGGGAACUUACGCUAAUACCGCAUACGACCUACGGGUGAAAGCAGGGGAUCUUCGGACCUUGCGCGAUUGAAUGAGCCGAUGUCGGAUUAGCUAGUUGGCGGGGUAAAGGCCCACCAAGGCGACGAUCCGUAGCUGGUCUGAGAGGAUGAUCAGCCACACUGUAACUGAGACACGGUCCAGACUCCUACGGGGGGCAGCAGUGGGGAAUAUUGGACAAUGGGCGCAAGCCUGAUCCAGCCAUACCGCGUGGGUGAAGAAGGCCUUCGGGUUGUAAAGCCCUUUUGUUGGGAAAGAAAAGCAGCAGGUUAAUACCCCGCUGUUCUGACGGUACCCAAAGAGUAAGCACCGGCUAACUUCGUG